RNAcentral lists this ribosomal RNA (466 nucleotides) under uncultured bacterium. RNAcentral's name for it is "partial 16S ribosomal RNA". It matches the Rfam family "Bacterial small subunit ribosomal RNA", at positions 28 to 507 of the family's 1533-position model. The record is from RNAcentral.
GAUGAACGCUGGCGGCGUGCUUAACACAUGCAAGUCGAACGAUGAAGCCCAGCUUGCUGGGUGGAUUAGUGGCGAACGGGUGAGUAACACGUGAGUAACCUGCCCUUAACUCUGGGAUAAGCCUGGGAAACUGGGUCUAAUACCGGAUAGGAGCGUCCACCGCAUGGUGGGUGUUGGAAAGAUUUAUCGGUUUUGGAUGGACUCGCGGCCUAUCAGCUUGUUGGUGAGGUAAUGGCUCACGAAGGCGACGACGGGUAGCCGGCCUGAGAGGGUGACCGGCCACACUGGGACUGAGACACGGCCCAGACUCCUACGGGAGGCAGCAGUGGGGAAUAUUGCACAAUGGGCGAAAGCCUGAUGCAGCGACGCCGCGUGAGGGAUGACGGCCUUCGGGUUGUAAACCUCUUUCAGUAGGGAAGAAGCGAAAGUGACGGUACCUGCAGAAGAAGCACCGGCUAACUACGUG